RNAcentral lists this ribosomal RNA (494 nucleotides) under uncultured bacterium. Its description in RNAcentral is "partial 16S ribosomal RNA". It matches the Rfam family "Bacterial small subunit ribosomal RNA", at positions 28 to 507 of the family's 1533-position model. The record is from RNAcentral.
GACGAACGCUGGCGGCGUGCUUAACACAUGCAAGUCGAACGGAAAGGCCUGCUUUCCCUUGUGGAUUGCGGGUACUCGAGUGGCGAACGGGUGAGUAACACGUGAGUGAUCUGCCCCCAACUUGGGUAUAAGCCUGGGAAACUGGGUCUAAUUCCCGAUAGGACUGCAGGGUGGUGCCUGUGGUGGAAAACGAUUUUCUAGUGGUUGGGGAUGAGCUCGCGGCCUAUCAGCUUGUUGGUGGGGUAAUGGCCUACCAAGGCGGCGACGGGUAGCCGGCCUGGGAGGGUGGACGGCCACAUUGGGACGGAGAGACGGCCCAGACUCCUACGGGAGGCAGCAGUGGGGAAUAUUGCACAAUGGGCGGAAGCCUGAUGCAGCGACGCCGCGUGGGGGAUGACGGCCUUCGGGUUGUAAACUCCUUUCGACCGCGAGGAAGCCACCUGGUUGGAAGGGUGGUGACGGUAGUGGUAGAAGAAGCACCGGCUAACUACGUG